AAAUGGAGCCCCACCAGUGUCUUAACUCGUCAUUUUUGUAUAUAUAGGCAAAAGAUCUGUUGAAUGUAGUCAAAGAAAUAGUCACAGAUAUUUUUCAAUCCUUUGAUGAAACAAAUUCAAUGAACAUCAACUACAUGUAUAACGUUUUAUUCCCUGAGGCCUGCAUAUAUUGUAUACGAAAAACUGAGCGUUGUCUCCGAUAUAACGCUGAAAAAAUUUAUAAUUGUGCGAGUGGAGUUUAAGACAGUGCAGACUCUGAAAGUGACUAACCUUGUUGUCUACCGAAGUACCUGAAAGCUGUAGUGGAUCUUGUAAAAAUUUGAGGUGACUUGACAAUGUAUCAUACCGAUUUACUCUUAAGACUCAAUGUCGUCUAAACAUACUAUUGACGAUGAACUAGCGCUGUUUUUAGUUUAGGUUUACUGAAUAAGAUUUUCUUUUUCAGCUAAGUUCUAUUACUUUAUCAAAAAAUAAUGAAUUCUUGUACAGGAAACAAUUAUACUUCAAUUUUGUCUAUAAUUAAAAUAAAAGAUGACUUUAAUUACAACUACAAGACGUAGAAAAAAAGUAUGUCAAACAGAGUCAAGUUAACGAUUAAUUGAACUGUUGACUAAGUUGGGCCAAUUUAUAGAUAUAUUUCAUAUCAAAGUUAAUUAUAAAUCAAAAUAGUUACCUCAAAAACACAAGUAAAUCUUUUCACCACCAU
Xenia sp. Carnegie-2017 is the source of this 706-nucleotide long non-coding RNA. RefSeq lists it as uncharacterized. The transcript has 2 exons. Lineage: Eukaryota; Metazoa; Cnidaria; Anthozoa; Malacalcyonacea; Xeniidae. The record is from RefSeq and is a predicted model, not a curated record.